Molecule: unclassified non-coding RNA, 628 nt
Filed under: Hevea brasiliensis (rubber tree)
Lineage: Eukaryota; Viridiplantae; Streptophyta; Magnoliopsida; Malpighiales; Euphorbiaceae
Source: RNAcentral
AUAUUAUGUGAUUAUUGCAUUGGCAAAUAAUGCAUAUUCUUAAUGAUAUUGUUUUUAAUAUAUGAAAUUCCACUCAUAUCUCCAUCAAAUUUGCUGCUGUUUGAAUUGCAGUUUCUUCCAAAAUGAAGAAAGGAAUUCACCUUCAGAUGCAGUGGAUAUCCUAUGUGAUCCAGAGUGGUAGAUUAAUGCACAUUAUGAUGACAAAAAUUCACCAUGCUGGUAAAGUCUACCACUUCAGGACAAGACGACAAAUGGCUGAAAGUUUAGGACAGAUUGCCAAGUUUAGGCGUCGUUAUGGGCAGGAAGAUGCUGAAGACACUGCAAAAUGACUCAUUGUAAGAGCAAAAGUGGAGCUUGGCAUUGGUGAGUUUUCUCAUGUGUUUUAGUUUAAAAGGUCACCCCAAACUAAGCGAGUUCUCUGAAUUGCAAUAAAGUUUAUUGUUUAUGGGUGCUUGAAGUUAUAGAACAAUUUGAUUUUGAUCAGUUUAGUUAAUGGUGAUUUCACUGCCGAAUUAAGAUUAUUACAGGCUGCUCUGUUGCACUUUUAUCCUGGUUGAUUAAAAUUUUGAGCCCUUUCAAAUAUUGUUGGAGUCCAUUUGAUGGACAUCACAUGAUAAGUGAAGCCGUG